AUAUCGGAUUUGCAUUUAAGUUAAUAUUGUAGGUAAUGUAAAAUAUUUUAAAGCUGCUUUAUAUUGACAGGUUUGUUUUACAAGUAGAUUAAUGCAUUUCAAUUGACGUGACGCAUUCAAUAUCGAUAUUCUAUUGUUGUGAUCAUAUUUAAGAUCAUAUUCCAACGUUAACCCGUUUUAGACCAGCGGCAAGUCAUGAACUGUUUACUAUGGUUUACAGUAUAAUACAAGUAAAAUGGUUUCCUGCGGGGAACAUUUUUAAUGAUAUAAAGAUAUUUCAUUUAACUAUUUUCAACAUUGUUUGGGGGAUUAAUAAACGUUUGUACCAGGAAUAAAGUUGACAAUAAUCGAUCAAUAUAGAAGAGGUCUUUGGAAACUGGUGACCGUUGAAGACCUGAGACCGGAGAAGGUCGAACAUAAAACAAUUAUGUCUUUUUAAGAAAAUGAUUAAAUACCAUUUUCUGAAUAAUUCCGAGCAAAAAAAUAAAGUAAACACACAAGUUUACGCAGAAAAUAUCUCUAUUUAGUAUGGCAGAUGCCACUACGAAUAUUUUAAUUUUGUAGAUUUUCAGUAUAAUCAAUUUAUUGUUUGUAACAUUUGAGAUAGAUAUUAAAGAAACAUUGAUAAUUUUCAAACACAUCAUUCAAGUUUUUCCUCUUUAAACGGUAAAAUAAUUAUAGAAAAUUAGAAAUAUCACGUAAUAGUUUUUUGUUGUUGUUAAUUAGGUGUUCUCUAGAGGUAAAUCCGUAACGUACCGGCAAACGGUAUUUAGCUAGGUUUUCGAAAAGGUCAAUUAACCAAUCAUGUACGGUUUACAGAUCACAUGCUCCUCCAUGUACCGAAAACAGGUCCCGCGCUCCUCCAUGCCUCAAAAGUUAAACGCGUACCAAUACCCUGCGGUCUCCAGACCGCAGGGAAUAAUCGACUGUGCAUUCAUAUCUAUGAGGGAAGAAUAUGAAAUAUUUCUAAAAAUACUUGGGAAAGAUUAGGCUAAAGCUCAAAGAACUUCAACUAAGUAUGCUUCGGUCUGUCUGUUUUAAGAACUUCGUGAAGUUUAAAGAACAUCAGAGGAUGGACUUUUCAAGUGAUGGGCCUUUUAUCCUUAUCGGGGAAAAUGGUUCAGGCAAAAGUUCCGUUUUAGAAGGUAUCAGGCGGUGUUUGGAAUUGAAUCUGAGUACAUCAUUUUCCUCAGUGUAUAAUCCAAAUGAGAUUUCUUAUUUCAUUUGCAAUGUUGAGGCUGUUAUUUCAAAAAAUAAGAAAAAUGUAAUAUUCGGUAUCGUGUCUAUACCUGGAGAUACGGAGCAAAGUACAGAAAUGCAAAGACGUAAUACCGAAGAAAUGAUGGAAGCUGAACAUUAUUCAGACGAAUCUGAAAUAGAAGGAAAGCACAUUGGACAUAGGAAGAUGAGUGUUGACGAAGACAAAAGAAGUCCAACUGGACGCAGAAAACUAAAUGUUGAGGAAGAAUUGGCAAUCCAACAAGUAAAAACGACAAAGAGUUCCAAGCAUAGAAACGCGUAAGU
Ruditapes philippinarum (Manila clam) is the source of this 1524-nucleotide RNA transcript. RefSeq lists it as uncharacterized. The transcript has 2 exons. The record is from RefSeq and is a predicted model, not a curated record. Lineage: Eukaryota; Metazoa; Mollusca; Bivalvia; Venerida; Veneridae.